This 657-nucleotide ribosomal RNA is filed under the name Lagocephalus lunaris (lunartail puffer). RNAcentral's name for it is "partial large subunit ribosomal RNA". It matches the Rfam family "Bacterial large subunit ribosomal RNA", at positions 1766 to 2634 of the family's 2925-position model. The record is from RNAcentral. Lineage: Eukaryota; Metazoa; Chordata; Actinopteri; Tetraodontiformes; Tetraodontidae.
ACAUGAUCUGAGUUCAGACCGGUCGCCUGUUUAUCAAAAACAUCGCCUCUUGUAAUUCACAAAUAAGAGGUCCCGCCUGCCCGGUGACCAUGUGUUCAACGGCCGCGGUAUUUUAACCGUGCAAAGGUAGCGCAAUCACUUGCCCUUUAAAUGAGGACCUGUAUGAACGGCACAACGAGGGCUUAGCUGUCUCCUUUUUCAGGUCAAUGAAAUUGAUCUCCCCGUGCAGAAGCGGGGAUUAAACCAUAAGACGAGAAGACCCUAUGGAGCUUUAGAUAUAAGACAGAUCACGUCAAACACCCUUAAACAAAAGAGCAAACUAAAUGGAGCCUGUCUAAAUGUCUUUGGUUGGGGCGACCGCGGGGCAACAAAAAACCCCCAUGUGGAAUAAAAGUAUUCUUUUAAAAACAAGAGCCACAGCUCUAAUAAACAGAACAUCUGACCAGCCAGAUCCGGCCUAGCCGAUCAACGAACCGAGUUACCCUAGGGAUAACAGCGCAAUCCCCUUUUAGAGCCCAUAUCGACAAGGGGGUUUACGACCUCGAUGUUGGAUCAGGACAUCCUAAUGGUGCAACCGCUAUUAAGGGUUCGUUUGUUCAACGAUUAAAGUCCUACAUGAUCUGAGUUCAGACCGGACAUGAUCUGAGUUCAGACCGG